RNAcentral lists this transfer RNA (43 nucleotides) under Myodes glareolus (Bank vole). Its description in RNAcentral is "partial tRNA-Met". Lineage: Eukaryota; Metazoa; Chordata; Mammalia; Rodentia; Cricetidae. The record is from RNAcentral.
GGCCCAUACCCCGAAAAUGUUGGUUUAAACCCUUCCCGUACUA